UACAGAGACUGCAAGCGUUAUUCGGAUUCACUGGGCGUAAAGGGUGCGCAGGCGGUUGUGUGUGUCAGGUGUGAAAGCCCGGGGCUUAACCCCGGAAUUGCGCCUGAAACUACAUGACUAGAGCAUUGGAGAGGGUAGCGGAAUUCACGGUGUAGCAGUGAAAUGCGUAGAUAUCGUGAGGAACACCAGAGGCGAAGGCGGCUACCUGGACAAUUGCUGACGCUCAGGCACGAAAGCGUGGGGAGCAAACAGG
RNAcentral lists this ribosomal RNA (253 nucleotides) under uncultured bacterium. RNAcentral's name for it is "partial 16S ribosomal RNA". It matches the Rfam family "Bacterial small subunit ribosomal RNA", at positions 524 to 776 of the family's 1533-position model. The record is from RNAcentral.